GACGAACGCUGGCGGCGUGCUUAACACAUGCAAGUCGAACGGUGAACGAGGGAGCUUGCUCCCUCCGGAUCAGUGGCGAACGGGUGAGUAACACGUGAGCAAUCUGCCCCGAACUCUGGGAUAAGCGUUGGAAACGACGUCUAAUACCGGAUACGACGCGGGAGGGCAUCCUCUCCGCGUGGAAAGAACUUCGGUUCGGGAUGAGCUCGCGGCCUAUCAGCUUGUUGGUGAGGUAACGGCUCACCAAGGCGACGACGGGUAGCCGGCCUGAGAGGGUGACCGGGCACACUGGGACUGAGACACGGCCCAGACUCCUACGGGAGGCAGCAGUGGGGAAUAGUGCACAAUGGGCGCAAGCAUGAUGCAGCAACGCCGGGUGAGGGAAGACGGCCUUCGGGGUGUAAAACUCUUGUAGCAGGGAAGAAGCGAAAGUGACGGUACCUGCAGAAAAAGCACCGGCUAACUACGG
Molecule: ribosomal RNA, 469 nt
Filed under: uncultured bacterium
Lineage: Bacteria
Description: partial 16S ribosomal RNA
Rfam family: Bacterial small subunit ribosomal RNA
Source: RNAcentral